CGGCGUGCCUAAUACAUGCAAGUCGAACGCACUCCGUUUAGAUUGAAGGAGCUUGCUCCUGAUUGAUAAACAUUUGAGUGAGUGGCGGACGGGUGAGUAACACGUGGGUAACCUGCCCUAAAGUGGGGGAUAACAUUUGGAAACAGAUGCUAAUACCGCAUAAAACCUAACACCGCAUGGUGUAGGGUUGAAAGAUGGUUUCGGCUAUCACUUUAGGAUGGACCCGCGGUGCAUUAGUUAGUUGGUGAGGUAAAGGCUCACCAAGACCGUGAUGCAUAGCCGACCUGAGAGGGUAAUCGGCCACACUGGGACUGAGACACGGCCCAGACUCCUACGGGAGGCAGCAGUAGGGAAUCUUCCACAAUGGACGAAAGUCUGAUGGAGCAACGCCGCGUGAGUGAAGAAGGUUUUCGGAUCGUAAAACUCUGUUGUUGGAGAAGAAUGUAUCUGAUAGUAACUGAUCAGGUAGUGACGGUAUCCAACCAGAAAGCCACGGCUAACUACGUG
RNAcentral lists this ribosomal RNA (507 nucleotides) under uncultured bacterium. RNAcentral describes it as "bacterial SSU rRNA". It matches the Rfam family "Bacterial small subunit ribosomal RNA", at positions 40 to 507 of the family's 1533-position model. The record is from RNAcentral.